RNAcentral lists this transfer RNA (72 nucleotides) under Candidatus Pacearchaeota archaeon. Its description in RNAcentral is "tRNA-Phe". It matches the Rfam family "tRNA". Rfam says of the family: Transfer RNA (tRNA) molecules are approximately 80 nucleotides in length. Their secondary structure includes four short double-helical elements and three loops (D, anti-codon, and T loops). Lineage: Archaea; Nanobdellati. RNAcentral also lists the same sequence under 1 other name. The record is from RNAcentral.
GAGGGGGUAGCUCAGUGGGAGAGCACUACGCUGAAGACGUAGGGGUCGCGUGUUCGAUUCACGCUCCCCUCA